UACGUAGGGUGCGAGCGUUUGUCCGGAAUUACUGGGCGUAAAGAGCUCGUAGGUGGUUUGUCGCGUUGUUCGUGAAAUCUCACGGCUUAACUGUGAGCGUGCGGGCGAUACGGGCAGACUGGAGUACUGCAGGGGAGACUGGAAUUCCUGGUGUAGCGGUGGAAUGCGCAGAUAUCAGGAGGAACACCGGUGGCGAAGGCGGGUCUCUGGGCAGUAACUGACGCUGAGGAGCGAAAGCGUGGGGAGCGAACAGG
RNAcentral lists this ribosomal RNA (254 nucleotides) under uncultured bacterium. RNAcentral describes it as "partial 16S ribosomal RNA". It matches the Rfam family "Bacterial small subunit ribosomal RNA", at positions 524 to 776 of the family's 1533-position model. The record is from RNAcentral.